Molecule: ribosomal RNA, 546 nt
Filed under: fungal sp. 27.20
Lineage: Eukaryota; Fungi
Description: eukaryotic LSU rRNA
Rfam family: 5.8S ribosomal RNA (bases 221-375)
Source: RNAcentral
AGGAUCAUUACUGAGAUGGGGUCCUUCGGGGCCCGACCUCCAACCCAAUGUCUACCGUCCUUGUUGCUUCGGCGGCGCCGCUCUCGGUAUGACCCAGAGAUGGGACAUUUCGAGACCGUCGGCUCCUUUUACCGGGGGCUUUCGAGUGCCCGCCGGGGGAUUAAGACACAAACUCUUUACGAACCCGAUUCUUAAAUAUUUGAUUUUUAAUAAACUUCAAAACUUUCAACAACGGUAUCUCUUGGUUCUGGCAUCGAUGAAGAACGCAGCGAAAUGCGAUAAGUAAUGUGAAUUGCAAAAUUCAAUGAAUCAUCGAAUCUUUGAACGCACAUUGCGCCCUCUGGUAUUCCGGAGGGCAUGCCUGUUCGAGCGUCAUUUCAACCAUCAAGCCCUGCUUGGUAGUGGGCGUCCUCGCCCCCGCACACGGGGGCGCGCCUUGAAUGACUCGGCGACGGCAUCGAGCCCCAAGCGUAUCGGAACAACUCGCUUCUGGCGGCCUCAAGCGCUGUUUAGCCUCUAGAAAACUCUACAACUUAAAGGUUGACC